GCCUGGCUAGCUCAUUUGGUAGAGCAUGGGAAUCUUGAUCUCCAGUGCCUGGGUUUGAGCCCCACACCAGAUG
Molecule: non-coding RNA, 73 nt
Organism: Pangasius djambal
Lineage: Eukaryota; Metazoa; Chordata; Actinopteri; Siluriformes; Pangasiidae
Source: the annotation of a GenBank genome assembly